This 481-nucleotide ribosomal RNA is filed under the name Selenomonas sp. oral taxon H30. Its description in RNAcentral is "bacterial SSU rRNA". It matches the Rfam family "Bacterial small subunit ribosomal RNA", at positions 28 to 479 of the family's 1533-position model. Lineage: Bacteria; Bacillati; Bacillota; Negativicutes; Selenomonadales; Selenomonadaceae. The record is from RNAcentral.
GACGAACGCUGGCGGCGUGCUUAACACAUGCAAGUCGAACGAGAUGAUCUUAAAGCUUGCUUUUAGAGAAUCUAGUGGCAAACGGGUGAGUAACACGUAGGCAACCUGCCGACAGGAUGGGGACAACAUUCCGAAAGGAAUGCUAAUACCGAAUGAAGUCAGAGAAGGGCAUCCUUUUCUGAUGAAAGAUGGCCUCUAUUUAUAAGCUAUCACCUGUCGAUGGGCCUGCGUCUGAUUAGCUAGUUGGUGAGGUAACGGCUCACCAAGGCGACGAUCAGUAGCCGGUCUGAGAGGAUGAACGGCCACAUUGGGACUGAGACACGGCCCAGACUCCUACGGGAGGCAGCAGUGGGGAAUCUUCCGCAAUGGGCGCAAGCCUGACGGAGCAACGCCGCGUGAGUGAAGAAGGUCUUCGGAUCGUAAAGCUCUGUUGACGGGGACGAACGUACGGAGUGCAAAUAGUGCUCUGUAAGACGGUACC